GAUGAACGCUAGCGGGAGGCUUAACACAUGCAAGUCGAGGGGUAAAUGGUAGCAAUACUAUGAGACCGGCGGACGGGUGCGUAACGCGUAUGCAACAUACCUUGUGCAGGGGGAUAGCCCGUGGAAACGCGGAUUAAUAUUCCAUAGUCCAGCUAUAUCGCAUGGUAUAGUUGGUAAAGAUUUAUCGGCACAAGUUUGGCAUGCGUCUGAUUAGCUUGUUGGUAGGGUAACGGCCUACCAAGGCUACGAUCAGUAGGGGUUCUGAGAGGAUUAACCCCCCACACUGGUACUGAGACACGGACCAGACUCCUACGGGAGGCAGCAGUGAGGAAUAUUGGUCAAUGGGCGGAAGCCUGAACCAGCCAUCCCGCGUGAAGGAAGACAGCCUUACGGGUUGUAAACUUCUUUUCUGUCAGAAGAAUAAGCUUGUCGAGACGAGUGAUGCCGUAUGACAGGAAUAAGCAUCGGCUAACUCCGUGCCAGCAGCCGCGGUAAACG
This 498-nucleotide ribosomal RNA is filed under the name uncultured bacterium. RNAcentral describes it as "bacterial SSU rRNA". It matches the Rfam family "Bacterial small subunit ribosomal RNA", at positions 28 to 527 of the family's 1533-position model. The record is from RNAcentral.